RNAcentral lists this ribosomal RNA (432 nucleotides) under Triticum aestivum (bread wheat). RNAcentral describes it as "partial small subunit ribosomal RNA". The record is from RNAcentral. Lineage: Eukaryota; Viridiplantae; Streptophyta; Magnoliopsida; Poales; Poaceae.
AUGAACUGGAGGAGGAGGAUGAGUAAGAGAGAAGCUGCUGGAUGGAGAAAGGAUGGGAGAAAAUACACAAGAUGGUGCAGGCUGCCGAUUAACUCCUCUAAAACAAUAAUGUGGGAUCAAUACAAUUUUUGUGUGAUGGGGUAUGCAUACUUAUUGUGUGGUGGGGCAUUCACACUUAUUGACUAUGCAACAUUGAUAUACAAUGCCAAGAAAUCAAUAUACAAGGCUUGUUGUACAAAUACUGCACUGAUCUAUGUGCAGCGAAUGGAUGAGAUACCAUCCUUGCGUGGCCGCAUGUCCACCCGUGAUUUAUCGGUCAUUCCGGCCCUUUUGUCUCCCAUCGUGCGUACAAAAUGCCCAGAAAGUAAACAAGCCCGAUCAAACUCUGCUUUGCAAAUUCAAUGUGAGUGUGAUACGGAUCAGAAGAGCUGA